RNAcentral lists this ribosomal RNA (443 nucleotides) under uncultured bacterium. RNAcentral's name for it is "partial 16S ribosomal RNA". It matches the Rfam family "Bacterial small subunit ribosomal RNA", at positions 28 to 507 of the family's 1533-position model. The record is from RNAcentral.
GAUGAACGCUGGCGGCAUGCCUAACACAUGCAAGUCGAUCGGUCAGGCUCUUCGGUUUACACGCGAGCCUUACGGCUGGGUAACUCGUAGACACACACCCUGCAGUGCGGUAUGACACACCUAACUUCGUUCUACUACCGCAUACGGUCUUCGGUUUAAUGCAUUUCUGGGCUGAAUGAGUAGACGGCGUCUUAUUAGAUAGUUUGUGUGGUAAUGGCUCACCAUGUCGAUGAUGUGUAGCUGGUCCGAGAGGAUGAUCAGCCAGACCGGAACGGAGACACAGUAGAGAAUCCUACGGGAGGCAGCAGUGAGGAAUAGUGCAAAAUGGGGGAAAGGAUGAAGGAGCAAUGCUGGGUGAAGGAUGAAGGUAGGCGAGUUGUAAAGUGUUUGUAUAAGAGAAGAUUAUGACGGUAACUAAUGAAUAAGGGACGGCUAACUACGUG